AUUGAACGCUGGCGGCAUGCUUUACACAUGCAAGUCGAACGGCAGCGCGGGCUUCGGCCUGGCGGCGAGUGGCGAACGGGUGAGUAAUGCAUCGGAACGUGCCCAGUAGUGGGGGAUAGCCCGGCGAAAGCCGGAUUAAUACCGCAUACGACCUGAGGGUGAAAGCGGGGGACCGAAAGGCCUCGCGCUAUUGGAGCGGCCGAUGUCGGAUUAGCUAGUUGGUGGGGUAAAGGCUUACCAAGGCGACGAUCCGUAGCUGGUCUGAGAGGACGACCAGCCAACACGGGAAUUGAGAAAGGGCCCAGCCUCCUACGGGAGGAGGCGGGGGGGAUUUUGGGAAAAGGGGGGCAACCUGAACCCAGCCGUGCGGCGGGGGGGAAGAAGGCGUGGGGUUUGAAAACGGUUUUGGUGGGGGAAGAAAUCCUGUGGGCAAAUCCCCGGGGGGAAGGACGGUACGGAAAAAAAAAGCCCCGGCUAACAACGUC
Molecule: ribosomal RNA, 485 nt
Filed under: uncultured bacterium
Lineage: Bacteria
Description: partial 16S ribosomal RNA
Rfam family: Bacterial small subunit ribosomal RNA
Source: RNAcentral